GGGUAUAGCUCAAUUGGUAGAGCGGCGGUCUCCAAAACCGUAGGCUCUGGGUUCAAGUCCUAGUGC
Molecule: transfer RNA, 66 nt
Filed under: human gut metagenome
Also listed under: 1 other name
Rfam family: tRNA
About the family: Transfer RNA (tRNA) molecules are approximately 80 nucleotides in length.
Source: RNAcentral